RNAcentral lists this unclassified non-coding RNA (178 nucleotides) under uncultured Ascomycota. Its description in RNAcentral is "sequence contains ITS2". Lineage: Eukaryota; Fungi; Ascomycota. The record is from RNAcentral.
CAACACUCAAGCUCUGCUUGGCGUUGGGGAACCACAGCGAUUCCGCGCUGUGGCCCCCGAAAACUAGUGGCGGGACUGUGAAGGAACCCGGACGAAGUAGCUAUUACAACGUCUAGGGAUGCCGCGCAGCUUCCAGCCGUAAAAACCGCCGGUCUCUUUACGCGGCCGAAAUUUUACG